This 253-nucleotide ribosomal RNA is filed under the name uncultured bacterium. Its description in RNAcentral is "partial 16S ribosomal RNA". It matches the Rfam family "Bacterial small subunit ribosomal RNA", at positions 524 to 776 of the family's 1533-position model. The record is from RNAcentral.
UACGGGGGGGGCAAGCGUUGUUCGGAAUUACUGGGCGUAAAGGGCGCGUAGGCUGCUCGCUAAGUCGGGUGUGAAAACUCUGGGCUCAACCCAGAGCCUGCAUUCGAAACUGACGAGCUAGAGUUCUGGAGGGGAAAGCGGAAUUCCUGGUGUAGCGGUGAAAUGCGUAGAGAUGGGGGAGAACACUCGUGGCGAAGGCGGCCAGCUAGACCAGUUCUGACACUGAGGCGCGAUAGCGUGGGGAGCAAACAGG